GGUUAAGCGACUAAGCGUACACGGUGGAUGCCCUGGCAGUCAGAGGCGAUGAAGGACGUGCUAAUCUGCGAUAAGCGUCGGUAAGGUGAUAUGAACCGUUAUAACCGGCGAUUUCCGAAUGGGGAAACCCAGUGUGUUUCGACACACUAUCAUUAACUGAAUCCAUAGGUUAAUGAGGCGAACCGGGGGAACUGAAACAUCUAAGUACCCCGAGGAAAAGAAAUCAACC
RNAcentral lists this ribosomal RNA (229 nucleotides) under Escherichia coli. RNAcentral's name for it is "partial 23S ribosomal RNA". It matches the Rfam family "Bacterial large subunit ribosomal RNA", at positions 1 to 230 of the family's 2925-position model. Lineage: Bacteria; Pseudomonadati; Pseudomonadota; Gammaproteobacteria; Enterobacterales; Enterobacteriaceae. RNAcentral also lists the same sequence under 1 other name. The record is from RNAcentral.